ACAGGGGUAAUGAACAUAUCAUUUGGAAAUAUGAAGGUAAAAUUAAAUGUGUUCAAUGCGGCCGACCAACCCGCAAGAGAAAUUGAGUGUUUUAUGAUAGACAAAAUAGAUGACCUCAUAGAAGGAGAUGCAAAAACUAUCUCACUAUGUCUGGCUGAAGACAAUAAACUUAGCGCUUGUUGGGAGGCAACCCAAUUCUCUUAGAUUAUUUCUUAACAUUGAGGACAAUGUUAGGUUUAGGUUUGGGGGUAUUCAUCUUGAUUUUCAU
RNAcentral lists this long non-coding RNA (268 nucleotides) under Phoenix dactylifera (date palm). RNAcentral describes it as "long non-coding RNA (PDAC_LNC003592)". The record is from RNAcentral. Lineage: Eukaryota; Viridiplantae; Streptophyta; Magnoliopsida; Arecales; Arecaceae.